UACAGAGGUCUCAAGCGUUGUUCGGAUUCAUUGGGCGUAAAGGGUGCGUAGGUGGCGCUGUAAGUCGGGUGUGAAAUCCUGAGGCUUAACCUCGGAACUGCAUUCGAUACUGCGGCGCUUGAGGACUGGAGAGGAGACUGGAAUUCAUGGUGUAGCAGUGAAAUGCGUAGAGAUCAUGAGGAAGACCAGUGGCGAAGGCGGGUCUCUGGACAGUUCCUGACACUGAGGCACGAAGGCCAGGGGAGCAAACGGG
Molecule: ribosomal RNA, 253 nt
Filed under: uncultured bacterium
Lineage: Bacteria
Description: partial 16S ribosomal RNA
Rfam family: Bacterial small subunit ribosomal RNA
Source: RNAcentral